GCCCCUGUAGUAUAGUGGAUGUACGUACGGUUGCGGUCCGUAAAACCGGAGUUCGAUUCUCCGCAGGGGCG
This 71-nucleotide transfer RNA is filed under the name Candidatus Woesearchaeota archaeon. Its description in RNAcentral is "tRNA-Arg". It matches the Rfam family "tRNA". Rfam says of the family: Transfer RNA (tRNA) molecules are approximately 80 nucleotides in length. Their secondary structure includes four short double-helical elements and three loops (D, anti-codon, and T loops). Further hydrogen bonds mediate the characteristic L-shaped molecular structure. tRNAs have two regions of fundamental functional importance: the anti-codon, which is responsible for specific mRNA codon recognition, and the 3' end, to which the tRNAs corresponding amino acid is attached (by aminoacyl-tRNA synthetases). tRNAs cope with the degeneracy of the genetic code in two manners: having more than one tRNA (with a specific anti-codon) for a particular amino acid; and 'wobble' base-pairing, i.e. permitting non-standard base-pairing at the 3rd anti-codon position. Lineage: Archaea; Nanobdellati; Candidatus Woesearchaeota. The record is from RNAcentral.